This 300-nucleotide ribosomal RNA is filed under the name uncultured Anaerococcus sp. Its description in RNAcentral is "bacterial SSU rRNA". It matches the Rfam family "Bacterial small subunit ribosomal RNA", at positions 496 to 795 of the family's 1533-position model. Lineage: Bacteria; Bacillati; Bacillota; Tissierellia; Tissierellales; Peptoniphilaceae. The record is from RNAcentral.
AUAAGUGGCGUGCGAUGAUGAUGGGGAAGGCGGAGGAUAGAAGCGUUAUCCGGAGAGAUUGAGUGACAAGGGGCCGUAGGCGGGCUUAGAAGUAAGUGGUGAAAGCCGAUCGUUAAAAGAUGGAACUGCCAUUGAUACUGUAAGACUUGAAUGCUUAGGAAGGAACUAGAAUAUGUAGUGUAGCGGUGAAAUGCUUAGAUAUUACAUGGAAUACCAAUGGCGAAGGCAGGUUACUACUAAGUGAUUGACGCUGAUGGACGAAAGCGUGGGGAGCGAACAGGAUUAGAUACCCGAGUAGUC